Small nucleolar RNA from Macadamia integrifolia, 75 nucleotides. RefSeq annotates it as small nucleolar RNA U30. The transcript has a single exon. The record is from RefSeq and is a predicted model, not a curated record. NCBI's taxonomy places the organism in Eukaryota, Viridiplantae, Streptophyta, Magnoliopsida, Proteales, Proteaceae.
UGCAAUGAUGGAACUUAAUAUCUCGUUAAUCUGAACGAGUAUGAAUGAGUAUCCUCUUCAAUCCAUUCUCUGAGC